UAGCAUCAUUUGAAAUCAGUGUU
RNAcentral lists this non-coding RNA (23 nucleotides) under Mus musculus (house mouse). The record is from RNAcentral. Lineage: Eukaryota; Metazoa; Chordata; Mammalia; Rodentia; Muridae.